UGGGGAAUAUUGGACAAUGGGGGAAACCCUAAUCCAGCGACGCCGCGUGGGUGAUGAAGGCUUUCGGGUCGUAAAGCCCUGUCAGGAGGAAAGAAUGCUCCUAUGAUAAAUACUCAUAGGAAGUGACGGUACCUCCAAAGGAAGCGCCGGCUAACUCCGUGCCAGCAGCCGCGGUAAGACGGAGGGCGCAAGCGUUGUUCGGAAUUACUGGGCGUAAAGCGCGGGCAGGCGGUCUGUUAAGUCGUUUGUGAAAAUCCGGGGCUCAACCCCGGAAAUGCAUACGAUACUGGCAGGCUGGAGACUGGUAGAGGCUAGCGGAAUUCCUGGUGUAGCGGUGGAAUGCGUAGAUAUCAGGAAGAACACCUGUGGCGAAGGCGGCUAGCUGGGCCAGUUCUGACGCUCAUCCGCGAAAGCGUGGGGAGCAAACAGGAUUAGAU
Molecule: ribosomal RNA, 437 nt
Filed under: uncultured bacterium
Lineage: Bacteria
Description: bacterial SSU rRNA
Rfam family: Bacterial small subunit ribosomal RNA
Source: RNAcentral